Molecule: long non-coding RNA, 1660 nt
Organism: Cercocebus atys (sooty mangabey)
Lineage: Eukaryota; Metazoa; Chordata; Mammalia; Primates; Cercopithecidae
Exons: 6
Source: RefSeq, a predicted model, not a curated record
GUCCCUGUCUGUGGAUGUGGUGGGGAGGAGUCAGAAAGUGGAAACAUGGACAUAUUUUUGUUAGAGCUCUAAAUCUAGUGAUACAUCAUUGAUUUUAUCUCUGCCAGGAAAUAAAACCUUCAGCUGCAGCUAAGAAUUUGGAGGUUACUGAAGGAGGUUACUUUUUCAAGAGCAGAAGUAAGGAUUCCACUGAAUUUGCUCACCAAAGAUAAGUCAGCAGAGAAAACUUACUGAAGAAUACAGGUUGUCUACUGUGUUUUUCUUAUUUUUUUGGAGGUUAUUUGAUCAUGUUUAUUUGAAAAUUGACCCCUAUAUGACAGUCCAUUCUGUUGAGUUUAUUGUUAAAAGAGCAGGAAUGAUUAAUGACUAUAGUGAAAUUAUGGAUUCCUAUUGUUACUAGACUAAUAUUGUAAGAACCAGCUAAAUCUUAUAAUGUAUGAUACAUUUAUGUGUGGCAUUCUUUGGUGUAGAAAUGAUUGUGUAAAUGCUGAUGCUGUAUAGUUUACCUUCUGCCUAAAUCAACAUCAGUGCUAAAAAUGUAUAUAAAUAAGGUGAAUAUUUUGAAUUUAUUUAAGGCCCUUCUCCAAAAAAGAAUAAUAGUUUAAAUAUUUUUUGUAGAACUAUGAGAGAAGCUGACUAAUUUGCAUAAACUGAGGAGCACAAUUGGAAAUACAGCAAAAUUGUUUAAUUAUUUUUAAGUGAAUGCAAGUUUAUUAAGACAGUAAAGGAAUAAAAGAAUGGCUACUCCAUAGGCAGAGCAACAAAAAUUAUUGAAUUUUUAAGUGAAUAUAAUCAUAUUGCUUUGACUUAUUGUCAUCUAUUUAUAAGAAAUAGCUAUUCCACAAUCUUCUUAAUGUUUAAAUAUUUUGUAAUAGGCAUUAAUAUUAUAUAUUUUUAUAUGUUAUUCAUAUAUAUUAAUAAUAACUAAUAAAUAUAUAUUUCUUAUUAUGUACCUGACAUUGGAGUAAGUAUUGAGCUUGUGAGGUCUUGGGAAGAAGAAAGCCUCAUGACUUAGAACUCUCUCUGGAAUCAGAAAGCUUGAAUUCAAAUCCCACCUCUAUUCUUAUUAGUCAUAUGAACACAGGAGAACCAUAUCCAUUCAGCUCACUUUGGACCACCUGUGGAGCCUCAUAACCAGGGAAUAGGGAAUCUCCUGAGGUCCAAAUUUGUGUGCCAGCAGGUCCUUCAGGACAUAUUCCAGAAGAAAGCAUUGUUAUCCUAGAAGAUGAUGGUUCCAUGCUUGUUAUUGCCCCUGAAGACCUUCCUGUGGGUCAAGAUACGAAGAUAAAAGACGGUGAUAUUGAUGAUUCUCACCCUGUGUACGCCAAGAAUCAAGUCAUCUGUGAAGGUUUAUCAAUUUUAUUGUAUUAAAGAAGCAAGCUCUAAAUUUUAUUUCUUAAUUCAUAUUUGUAAAUAUCAAUGUCAUAGCAUUAAUUUCUGCUGUUUAUUGUUUUCUACAUUCUAAUUAUUUUUAGUUGAAUUUUAUCUAGUUUCUCAAGAUUGGUACUUAGACAAAUUAUCUUAAAUAUUUCAUCUUUUCUGAUACAACCAUUUACAACUGUAAAUUUCAUUCUAAGUACUGCCUUACGCAGUACUUAUGCAGAUCUGAUGAGUUCAUAUUUCCCUGAAUUUUCUUGAUGUUUGUGGACAUAUGUUGAUG